UUAAGAACUAUAGGCAUGGAUAUCUAGAUUUGAGUUAAGUGAUAAUGAACUGUUAUUGUACAGCUAUGCCAAAAACAUGGAGACAUGUAUUUAAAGGAUUACUUGAUUCAAAAUGAGUUACACUGCAGGUAUUGUUUACACACUAGUCAAUAAUGUUCAUUAUUGUUAGGGUCAUCACAUGUAAUAAAUGAGUUAACAGGAUUCAUCUUCAGAUGUUAAAGUAAACAUUUACAGUGUAAAAAUGGUAACAGUGGGAUUUUGGCCAAUAUUCAUGAUGAUUUGAUCUUUCUGGAGUUUUGCUUCAGAAGUAUUCAAUGGCAUCAUGAUGAGCCUUGGAUGUCUGUAUGCCGUGCAGCUCCAGUUUUUCUCCAGCAUGGGGCAGGGUUUUAUAGACACGUAGAUGAAUA
Long non-coding RNA from Ctenopharyngodon idella (grass carp), 407 nucleotides. RefSeq lists it as uncharacterized. The record is from RefSeq and is a predicted model, not a curated record. The transcript is spliced from 3 exons. Lineage: Eukaryota; Metazoa; Chordata; Actinopteri; Cypriniformes; Xenocyprididae.